This is a long non-coding RNA of Neoarius graeffei (lesser salmon catfish), 1909 nucleotides long. RefSeq lists it as uncharacterized. The transcript has 2 exons. Lineage: Eukaryota; Metazoa; Chordata; Actinopteri; Siluriformes; Ariidae. The record is from RefSeq and is a predicted model, not a curated record.
CAUCACUGUUACGGGAGGAGAGAAGAGAUCCUCUUCCCUCAACACAGAAUGAUUGCUUCUUAAUCAAUUAGUUUCAGCGUUUGUUUCUGUUCUCUCUCUCUGUCUCUCUAUUUCUGAGCUCUACACAGAUUUGACUGAGAAUCCUCAAGACGUUGUGAACAAAGAGGGGAAGAGAUCUUGUGCGCUGUUUGGGACCAAUCAUCCUCAUUACAACCAUGACGGUCCUCAUCACAGGUUUCGUGACUUCAUUGUUGCUCGGGGCAGGGCUACCCGCCCGAGCCUUCGUGACUGCUUCAUUGUUGCUCGGGGCAGGGUUACCCGCCCAAGCCUUCUGGACCACUUCAUUGCUCGGAGCAGGGUUACCCGCUCGAGCUGGACAACAUCUUCUGGCAAUUUGCUAACUGGACUGCACAAGCGCACACCACACGAAUGUGUUAUGAAUUUCAUCUGAUGCCGUUUUCUACUAUUAUUAUCUCUAUGCUCUGAAACUCUGUAUUCUUACAGGACUCUGUUCUCACUAUAGGUAGAUAUGCCUUCUAAUUUCAUUUUCCCUCACUGUUUUAGAACAAAUUACUCUGAAGGAAGUAGUGUGUAUUUGGGACGAAUUAAGAGGUUUUGAGUUUCUCUAAGCUCCGGUGAGGUGGGACGAGGGCUGAUCGGGCAUGCCCGCCCUCUGAGCACCAAUAUACAUCAGGAAGGGCAAAGAUUAACUCAAGAUUAAUUCUCGAUGUAAUCACAUAUAUGAUCAUGAGGUGAUAAUGAUCAUAUAUGAUCCUAGGAUUUGAUAAUAGUGAUACUAUUGUCAAAGGGGGGGAUUGUUAGGUUUAUAUAAGUAUUAUUCUUGACCAAGAAGGCAGUAAUUUGUUUGUGACAAAAUUAAGGAUUAAUUUCUGUCAGUUAAAAUGACCUUAUGUCUCGGCUGGACAUUGUUUGGGAACAUUUUGUUUAUUUUGAUAUGAAAUGUGUAUUGUUGAUCAAAGAUGUGUCUAGAUGGUGACAGGGUCUGCGAUGAUAUCACACACACUCACAAUGGCCUUUGAUAUCACACACAACCACAGCUGCAUAGCCAACGUGGAUUGGGAAUUAAAAGUUAGAUUUAAAGCCAUGAUUUAAGUUAGUUUAUAGCUAAGAUUGUGAUUUAAGAUUGUUAGAGUUAACCAGUUUCUUUAAUGUUGAAUCGGAAGUUGAAAUGAUUGAAUGUUGGAUGUAAUGGUAGCCUUAUUGCUGAACAAAGUGUUAAGAUCCAUUAUUAUUUUGGACUAUUGCAUAUACUAAGGCAGUGAUUUAGAUUUAAUUGUUAGAUCUAAGAUGCAUUUAGUGAUUUAAGUUAGUUUUAUAAUUAUAGAAUAUAAUUUAGGAUUGUUAAGACUUUAUGAUUCUAAUGUUAAGAACAUAUUCUUGAUAUGAGAUGUUUUGCUUAUGACUGUCUUUGUUUAGGUUUAUUCUUAUUUUUUGUUUACUUUCUUAUAACAAAUAUCUUUGUUGAAAAAUUCCAUCACCAUCUUAAGUACAUAGUGCCCUGACCUGAAGGGGUGUACGUAAGCAAUGACCUUUAAAAUCUGUCUGUACCUUGCCAUCAUGUCAUAUCAUCAGAAAUAUGUCAUUAUGUUAUGAUUUACACACACAUACAUCUGAACAUUCCAUCAGAACAGUGAUGUAAUUAAGAUGUGACUUGCUCUCACACACACACACACACACACACACACACACACACACACACACAGAUAUCAAAAUGAUGUCACUCAAUCACCCCCCCAUAGACACACACACACACACACACACAUUCAUGCACACACACACAUAGAUAUCAAACAGUGAUGUCAUUUACACACAGAUAACACUCGUAUAUAAUAACCCUCUCUAUUCUUGUCCAGGAGGGGGGAACUUGCGAAUAAAGAUGUGAACUACA